This 240-nucleotide ribosomal RNA is filed under the name uncultured bacterium. Its description in RNAcentral is "partial 16S ribosomal RNA". It matches the Rfam family "Bacterial small subunit ribosomal RNA", at positions 15 to 244 of the family's 1533-position model. The record is from RNAcentral.
GAUCCUGGCUCAGGAUGAACGCUAGCUACAGGCUUAACACAUGCAAGUCGAGGGGAAACGACAUCGAAGGCUUGCUUCCGAUGGGCGUCGACCGGCGCACGGGUGAGUAACGCGUAUCCAACCUGCCCACCACUUGGGGAUAACCUUGCGAAAGUAAGACUAAUGCCCAAUGAUAUCCCACGAAGGCAUCCGAAUGGGAUUAAAGAUUUAUCGGUGAUGGAUGGGGAUGCGUCUGAUUAG